UACGGAAGGUCCGGGCGUUAUCCGGAUUUAUUGGGUUUAAAGGGAGCGCAGGCGGACGUUUAAGUCAGUUGUGAAAUACGGCGGCUCAACCGUCGGGGUGCAGUUGAUACUGGCGUCCUUGAGUGCGGCAGAGGCAGGCGGAAUUCGUGGUGUAGCGGUGAAAUGCUUAGAUAUCAUGAAGAACUCCGAUCGCGAAGGCAAGUGCCCGGGGUGCAACUGACGCUGAGGCUCGAAGGUGCGGGUAUCGAACAGG
This 253-nucleotide ribosomal RNA is filed under the name uncultured bacterium. RNAcentral describes it as "partial 16S ribosomal RNA". It matches the Rfam family "Bacterial small subunit ribosomal RNA", at positions 524 to 776 of the family's 1533-position model. The record is from RNAcentral.